Molecule: ribosomal RNA, 430 nt
Filed under: uncultured Entrophosporaceae
Lineage: Eukaryota; Fungi; Glomeromycota; Glomeromycetes; Entrophosporales; Entrophosporaceae
Description: SSU rRNA
Rfam family: Eukaryotic small subunit ribosomal RNA
Source: RNAcentral
GGGAGGUAGUGGACAAUAAAUAACAAUACGGGGCUCUUUCGGGUCUCGUAAUUGGAAUGAGUACAAUUUAAAUCCCUUAACGAGGAACAAUUGGAGGGCAAGUCUGGUGCCAGCAGCCGCGGUAAUUCCAGCUCCAAUAGCGUAUAUUAAAGUUGUUGCAGUUAAAAAGCUCGUAGUUGAAUUUCGGGAUUGACACAUCGGUCGUGCCUUAAGGGGUAUGAACUGGUGUAGUCAAUUUCUCACCUUCUGGAGAACCGCGAUGUCCUUAAUUGGGUGCCGCGAGGAACCAGGACCUUUACUUUGAAAAAAUUAGAGUGUUUAAAGCAGGCAUUUUGCUUGAAUACAUUAGCAUGGAAUAAUAAAAUAGGACGGCAUGAUUCUAUUUUGUUGGUUUCUAGGAUCACCGUAAUGAUUAAUAGGGAUAGUUGGG